This 1355-nucleotide ribosomal RNA is filed under the name Bacillus subtilis. Its description in RNAcentral is "bacterial SSU rRNA". It matches the Rfam family "Bacterial small subunit ribosomal RNA", at positions 24 to 1362 of the family's 1533-position model. The record is from RNAcentral. Lineage: Bacteria; Bacillati; Bacillota; Bacilli; Caryophanales; Bacillaceae.
UCAGGACGAACGCUGGCGGCGUGCCUAAUACAUGCAAGUCGAGCGGACAGAUGGGAGCUUGCUCCCUGAUGUUAGCGGCGGACGGGUGAGUAACACGUGGGUAACCUGCCUGUAAGACUGGGAUAACUCCGGGAAACCGGGGCUAAUACCGGAUGGUUGUUUGAACCGCAUGGUUCAAACAUAAAAGGUGGCUUCGGCUACCACUUACAGAUGGACCCGCGGCGCAUUAGCUAGUUGGUGAGGUAACGGCUCACCAAGGCGACGAUGCGUAGCCGACCUGAGAGGGUGAUCGGCCACACUGGGACUGAGACACGGCCCAGACUCCUACGGGAGGCAGCAGUAGGGAAUCUUCCGCAAUGGACGAAAGUCUGACGGAGCAACGCCGCGUGAGUGAUGAAGGUUUUCGGAUCGUAAAGCUCUGUUGUUAGGGAAGAACAAGUACCGUUCGAAUAGGGCGGUACCUUGACGGUACCUAACCAGAAAGCCACGGCUAACUACGUGCCAGCAGCCGCGGUAAUACGUAGGUGGCAAGCGUUGUCCGGAAUUAUUGGGCGUAAAGGGCUCGCAGGCGGUUUCUUAAGUCUGAUGUGAAAGCCCCCGGCUCAACCGGGGAGGGUCAUUGGAAACUGGGGAACUUGAGUGCAGAAGAGGAGAGUGGAAUUCCACGUGUAGCGGUGAAAUGCGUAGAGAUGUGGAGGAACACCAGUGGCGAAGGCGACUCUCUGGUCUGUAACUGACGCUGAGGAGCGAAAGCGUGGGGAGCGAACAGGAUUAGAUACCCUGGUAGUCCACGCCGUAAACGAUGAGUGCUAAGUGUUAGGGGGUUUCCGCCCCUUAGUGCUGCAGCUAACGCAUUAAGCACUCCGCCUGGGGAGUACGGUCGCAAGACUGAAACUCAAAGGAAUUGACGGGGGCCCGCACAAGCGGUGGAGCAUGUGGUUUAAUUCGAAGCAACGCGAAGAACCUUACCAGGUCUUGACAUCCUCUGACAAUCCUAGAGAUAGGACGUCCCCUUCGGGGGCAGAGUGACAGGUGGUGCAUGGUUGUCGUCAGCUCGUGUCGUGAGAUGUUGGGUUAAGUCCCGCAACGAGCGCAACCCUUGAUCUUAGUUGCCAGCAUUCAGUUGGGCACUCUAAGGUGACUGCCGGUGACAAACCGGAGGAAGGUGGGGAUGACGUCAAAUCAUCAUGCCCCUUAUGACCUGGGCUACACACGUGCUACAAUGGACAGAACAAAGGGCAGCGAAACCGCGAGGUUAAGCCAAUCCCACAAAUCUGUUCUCAGUUCGGAUCGCAGUCUGCAACUCGACUGCGUGAAGCUGGAAUCGCUAGUAAUCGCGGAUCAGCAUGCCGCGG